RNAcentral lists this non-coding RNA (21 nucleotides) under Arabidopsis thaliana (thale cress). The record is from RNAcentral. Lineage: Eukaryota; Viridiplantae; Streptophyta; Magnoliopsida; Brassicales; Brassicaceae.
UUGAGGCGCAUGAAACUCCUU